GGGAACCCUGACGGAGCAACGCCGCGUGCGGGAGGGCGGCCUGUGGGUUGUAAACCGCUUUUCUCAGGGAAGAAGUUCUGACGGUACCUGAGGAAUCAGCAUCGGCUAACUCCGUGCCAGCAGCCGCGGUAAUACGGAGGAUGCAAGCGUUAUCCGGAAUUAUUGGGCGUAAAGCGUCCGUAGGCGGUGAGUUAAGUCUGCUGUCAAAGCCUGCAGCUCAACUGUGGAGUGGCAGUGGAAACUGAUUGACUAGAGUGCGAUAGGGGUAGAGGGAAUUCCCAGUGUAGCGGUGAAAUGCGUAGAUAUUGGGAAGAACACCAGUGGCGAAGGCGCUCUACUGGGUCGCAACUGACGCUGAGGGACGAAAGCUAGGGGAGCG
Molecule: ribosomal RNA, 379 nt
Filed under: uncultured cyanobacterium
Lineage: Bacteria; Bacillati; Cyanobacteriota
Description: bacterial SSU rRNA
Rfam family: Bacterial small subunit ribosomal RNA
Source: RNAcentral